ACCCAGUGGCAGGCUCCGGCCACGGGAUGCGUGAAGAUCAAUGUGGACGCGGCCGCACCAAGGCAAGCCCGUUCCGGGGCUGUGGGUGCAAUCUGCAGAAGUUCAGAUGGUCUGUUUUUGGGAGCUUCGGCGCUGAUCAUAGAGCAUAUUGGGGACCCGGAAACGCUGGAGGCCAUGGCGAUCAGAGAAGGCCUUGCACUUGCGGAGGACUUGUACCAAAGGCGCAUUCAUGUUGCAUCGAUUUGCAAGAAGGCAGUAGACUCUCUGAAAAAGGAGGACGCAUCUCCAUAUGGUGCUAUUGUGCAUGAAAUAUUAAGCCAUUCUGCAACUUUUGAUAUGUGUAGGUUUAGCCAUGAGUUUAGGAGCUCAAAUUAUGAAGCUCACAACUUAGCGAAGCAUGCUUUAUCUCUCGGGGGUGGCCGCCGUGUAUGGUUAGGCCAUCCCGGAGAUCUUUCUUUCGUCCCUGUAAACAUUGUGACGAAUCAAUAA
This 489-nucleotide ribosomal RNA is filed under the name Triticum aestivum (bread wheat). Its description in RNAcentral is "partial small subunit ribosomal RNA". Lineage: Eukaryota; Viridiplantae; Streptophyta; Magnoliopsida; Poales; Poaceae. The record is from RNAcentral.